This 497-nucleotide ribosomal RNA is filed under the name uncultured bacterium. RNAcentral describes it as "partial 16S ribosomal RNA". It matches the Rfam family "Bacterial small subunit ribosomal RNA", at positions 28 to 507 of the family's 1533-position model. The record is from RNAcentral.
GAUGAACGCUGGCGGCGUGCCUAAUACAUGCAAGUCGAGCGAACAGACGAGGAGCUUGCUCCUCUGACGUUAGCGGCGGACGGGUGAGUAACACGUGGAUAACCUACCUAUAAGACUGGGAUAACUUCGGGAAACCGGAGCUAAUACCGGAUAAUAUCUUUAACCGCAUGGUUCAAUAGUUAAAGACGGUUUUGCUGUCACUUAUAGAUGUAUCCGCGCCGCAUUAGCUAGUUGGUAAGGUAACGGCUUACCAAGGCAACGAUGUGUAGCCGACCUGAGAGGGUGAUCGGCCACACUGGAACUGAGACAAGGUCCAGACUCCUAAGGGAGGCAGCAGUAGGGAAGCUGCCGCAAGGGGCGAAAGCCUGACGGAGCAACGAAGCGUGAGUGAUGAAGGUCUUCGGAUCGUAAAACUCUGUUAUUAGGGAAGAACAAAUGUGUAAGUAACUAUGCACGUCUUGACGGUACCUAAUCAGAAAGCCACGGCUAACUACGUG